RNAcentral lists this ribosomal RNA (318 nucleotides) under Triticum aestivum (bread wheat). RNAcentral's name for it is "partial small subunit ribosomal RNA". Lineage: Eukaryota; Viridiplantae; Streptophyta; Magnoliopsida; Poales; Poaceae. The record is from RNAcentral.
AUGAAAACAUGUUUGCAGGUUGAAUCAUUUCUCUUAUCUAACUUUUCAGGUGAUACAUCAUCAACCGACUGGGAUAAGGCUUGGUCUAGUUUUAAGAAGAAAGGGAAGAAGACCCUAUUCUCAGAGUUCUCACCGAACAAAUAUGUGACCUGUAACCCACGGCGCAUUGAGUAUCCAUUGUCAGAAGAAGUCGAUCCAAUCAAAAGAGCCGAGAGGUCUAACUUGAUGUUGUGAACAAGCCCAAUAUGUACCUUAGUAGGGGUGAUUAUCUUCGUUUCGGCAUUUCUUAUCUAUACAUUGGUUGUCCCACCCAAGUAA